Molecule: ribosomal RNA, 254 nt
Filed under: uncultured bacterium
Lineage: Bacteria
Description: partial 16S ribosomal RNA
Rfam family: Bacterial small subunit ribosomal RNA
Source: RNAcentral
UACGUAGGGUGCGAGCGUUGUCCGGAAUUAUUGGGCGUAAAGAGCUCGUAGGCGGUGUGUCACGUCGGUCGUGAAAACCUGCAGCUUAACUGUGGGCGUGCGGUCGAUACGGGCAUCACUGGAGUUCGGCAGGGGAGACUGGAAUUCCUGGUGUAGCGGUGAAAUGCGCAGAUAUCAGGAGGAACACCGAUGGCGAAGGCAGGUCUCUGGGCCGAUACUGACGCUGAGGAGCGAAAGCGUGGGGAGCGAACAGG